RNAcentral lists this ribosomal RNA (298 nucleotides) under uncultured Desulfobulbus sp. RNAcentral's name for it is "partial 16S ribosomal RNA". It matches the Rfam family "Bacterial small subunit ribosomal RNA", at positions 1084 to 1382 of the family's 1533-position model. Lineage: Bacteria; Pseudomonadati; Thermodesulfobacteriota; Desulfobulbia; Desulfobulbales; Desulfobulbaceae. The record is from RNAcentral.
GUCCCGCAACGAGCGCAACCCUUGCCUUUAGUUGCCAGCAGUUCGGCUGGGCACUCUAAAGGGACUGCCGGUGUUAAACCGGAGGAAGGUGGGGAUGACGUCAAGUCCUCAUGGCCUUUAUGACCAGGGCUACACACGUACUACAAUGGCCGAUACAAAGGGCAGCGACACUGCGAGGUGAAGCCAAUCCCGUAAAAUCGGUCUCAGUCCGGAUUGGAGUCUGCAACUCGACUCCAUGAAGUUAGAAUCGCUAGUAAUCGCGCAUCAGCAUGGCGCGGUGAAUACGUUCCCGGGCCUU